RNAcentral lists this unclassified non-coding RNA (240 nucleotides) under soil metagenome. Its description in RNAcentral is "partial contains 5.8S ribosomal RNA, internal transcribed spacer 2, and large subunit ribosomal RNA". The record is from RNAcentral.
AACGCACGAGACCUGCGGACCUGCGGAGGGAUCAUCAUGGGAAAAAUGUGACUUGUGAGUUUUUCUGUUGCUCACUCACCAAGCUGUGGGGAGUGGCGUGGUGGGGGGGCGCAUACUCUGCAACUGUUUCUGUGGGGGAUCUGGCUCUCUCACUCGCGCUUUCCGCAGCUUCAUCCAAACGAUCGCAACAAUGAUCAGAGAAAUUGGGAUUGGAUUGGGGGGGCGCCGUUUUUUUACCAC